Molecule: ribosomal RNA, 538 nt
Filed under: uncultured bacterium
Lineage: Bacteria
Description: bacterial SSU rRNA
Rfam family: Bacterial small subunit ribosomal RNA
Source: RNAcentral
AAAUAGAUACCCGGGUAGUCCACGCCGUAAACGAUGAGUGCUAAGUGUUAGGGGGUUUCCGCCCCUUAGUGCUGCAGCUAACGCAUUAAGCACUCCGCCUGGGGAGUACGGCCGCAAGGCUGAAACUCAAAGGAAUUGACGGGGGCCCGCACAAGCGGUGGAGCAUGUGGUUUAAUUCGAAGCAACGCGAAGAACCUUACCAGGUCUUGACAUCUCCUGACCCCCCUGGAGACAGGGUCUUCCCUUCGGGGACAGGAUGACAGGUGGUGCAUGGUUGUCGUCAGCUCGUGUCGUGAGAUGUUGGGUUAAGUCCCGCAACGAGCGCAACCCUUGUCCUUAGUUGCCAGCAUUCAGUUGGGCACUCUAAGGAGACUGCCGGCUAAAAGUCGGAGGAAGGUGGGGAUGACGUCAAAUCAUCAUGCCCCUUAUGACCUGGGCUACACACGUGCUACAAUGGGCGGUACAGAGGGUCGCGAACCCGCGAGGGGGAGCCAAUCCCAAAAAACCGCUCUCAGUUCGGAUUGCAGGCUGCAACUCG